RNAcentral lists this ribosomal RNA (527 nucleotides) under Rhodotorula mucilaginosa. Its description in RNAcentral is "eukaryotic LSU rRNA". It matches the Rfam family "Eukaryotic large subunit ribosomal RNA", at positions 61 to 602 of the family's 3401-position model. The record is from RNAcentral. Lineage: Eukaryota; Fungi; Basidiomycota; Microbotryomycetes; Sporidiobolales; Sporidiobolaceae.
GAAACUAACAAGGAUUCCCCUAGUAGCGGCGAGCGAAGCGGGAAGAGCUCAAAUUUAUAAUCUGGCACCUUCGGUGUCCGAGUUGUAAUCUCUAGAAAUGUUUUCCGCGUUGGACCGCACACAAGUCUGUUGGAAUACAGCGGCAUAGUGGUGAGACCCCCGUAUAUGGUGCGGACGCCCAGCGCUUUGUGAUACAUUUUCGAAGAGUCGAGUUGUUUGGGAAUGCAGCUCAAAUUGGGUGGUAAAUUCCAUCUAAAGCUAAAUAUUGGCGAGAGACCGAUAGCGAACAAGUACCGUGAGGGAAAGAUGAAAAGCACUUUGGAAAGAGAGUUAACAGUACGUGAAAUUGUUGGAAGGGAAACGCUUGAAGUCAGACUUGCUUGCCGAGCAAUCGGUUUGCAGGCCAUCAUCAGUUUUCCGGGAUGGAUAAUGGUAGAGAGAAGGUAGCAGUUUCGGCUGUGUUAUAGCUCUCUGCUGGAUACAUCUUGGGGGACUGAGGAACGCAGUGUGCCUUUUGGCGGGGGUUU